This 73-nucleotide transfer RNA is filed under the name Canis lupus familiaris (dog). It matches the Rfam family "tRNA". From Rfam's summary of the family: Transfer RNA (tRNA) molecules are approximately 80 nucleotides in length. Their secondary structure includes four short double-helical elements and three loops (D, anti-codon, and T loops). RNAcentral also lists the same sequence under 2 other names. The record is from Rfam by way of RNAcentral. Lineage: Eukaryota; Metazoa; Chordata; Mammalia; Carnivora; Canidae.
GUCCAGCUGGCUCAGUCAGAACAGCGUGAGACUCUACAUCUCAAGGUUGUGAGUUCAAGCCCCACGCUGGAUG